Long non-coding RNA from Rhodamnia argentea, 187 nucleotides. RefSeq lists it as uncharacterized. The transcript has 2 exons. NCBI's taxonomy places the organism in Eukaryota, Viridiplantae, Streptophyta, Magnoliopsida, Myrtales, Myrtaceae. The record is from RefSeq and is a predicted model, not a curated record.
UAGUGAAGAGAAGGACACGUAAACCAAUUUAGGCAAGGUAAAUGAUGGCCCAAGGGUAUCUGACUCGGGUGUAACAUAGACAGGAGGGAGGGUAUUUCCUAGGCACAGUUCCUUCGGAUUUCUCUUUGUGACACAAAUUGUACUCUGCUGAGGUUUUAAUGAGAAGGCUUGGUAAUAAGUUUCAUAU